RNAcentral lists this transfer RNA (82 nucleotides) under bacterium. RNAcentral's name for it is "tRNA-Leu". It matches the Rfam family "tRNA". From Rfam's summary of the family: Transfer RNA (tRNA) molecules are approximately 80 nucleotides in length. Their secondary structure includes four short double-helical elements and three loops (D, anti-codon, and T loops). Further hydrogen bonds mediate the characteristic L-shaped molecular structure. tRNAs have two regions of fundamental functional importance: the anti-codon, which is responsible for specific mRNA codon recognition, and the 3' end, to which the tRNAs corresponding amino acid is attached (by aminoacyl-tRNA synthetases). tRNAs cope with the degeneracy of the genetic code in two manners: having more than one tRNA (with a specific anti-codon) for a particular amino acid; and 'wobble' base-pairing, i.e. permitting non-standard base-pairing at the 3rd anti-codon position. The record is from RNAcentral.
GCGAGGAUGGCGGAACAGGCAGACGCGCUGGAUUUAGGAUCCAGUGAGGUAACUCAUGGGGGUUCAACUCCCCCUCCUCGCA